AAUCGCGAUUUUGGCAUCGGCGGAGCCGAGACGGUCGCGAGUGAGCACUUUAAAGGGCGACAAGGCGGUACUUAGACCGUGGAUCGUCGACACGUCGAGAUAUCGGCACGAGGAGGCGUGUCGUGCAUCGGAACCAUGCGUGACAUAUGAGACAGCGCGGCACGAGGCCAGCGACGAGGAGGGAAGAAACAAUCGCCCCUCGCCAAACAGCCGGCGUCGGGCGCCCCGUCAUGAGGCCUCGCGUUGGGAUGUCGCUGAGUCGGACGUUAGCGUUGAUCGCGCUGCUCUGCGUGCUCAGUGCCAGUCCGGUCCAACCGCGCUCGUUCAGCAGCUGCAAGAGCCUGUGCAACAUCGACAAGGGGCGCGGUGUCUGCCUGGUGAGCUAUAAACGGCACCCAUAAAGCAGUUUCCACCACCUUCCCUCGUCGCGCGCUGCCCCACCCGUUCCCGCGGACCCCACGACCGACAUCGCCCCGCUGACUCCGAACAUUGCACGCAUCGAUGAUUAAUAUCCCGCAGGAGGACG
This 526-nucleotide long non-coding RNA is filed under the name Micromonas commoda. RNAcentral's name for it is "long non-coding RNA (MCOM_LNC000460)". The record is from RNAcentral. Lineage: Eukaryota; Viridiplantae; Chlorophyta; Mamiellophyceae; Mamiellales; Mamiellaceae.